RNAcentral lists this ribosomal RNA (501 nucleotides) under Bacillus sp. PASPW7. RNAcentral describes it as "bacterial SSU rRNA". It matches the Rfam family "Bacterial small subunit ribosomal RNA", at positions 202 to 693 of the family's 1533-position model. Lineage: Bacteria; Bacillati; Bacillota; Bacilli; Caryophanales; Bacillaceae. The record is from RNAcentral.
AGAUGGUUUCGGCUAUCACUUACAGAUGGGCCCGCGGUGCAUUAGCUAGUUGGUGAGGUAACGGCUCACCAAGGCAACGAUGCAUAGCCGACCUGAGAGGGUGAUCGGCCACACUGGGACUGAGACACGGCCCAGACUCCUACGGGAGGCAGCAGUAGGGAAUCUUCCGCAAUGGACGAAAGUCUGACGGAGCAACGCCGCGUGAGUGAUGAAGGCUUUCGGGUCGUAAAACUCUGUUGUUAGGGAAGAACAAGAACGAGAGUAACUGCUCGUACCUUGACGGUACCUAACCAGAAAGCCACGGCUAACUACGUGCCAGCAGCCGCGGUAAUACGUAGGUGGCAAGCGUUAUCCGGAAUUAUUGGGCGUAAAGCGCGCGCAGGCGGUUUCUUAAGUCUGAUGUGAAAGGGGACGGCUCAACCGUGGAGGGUCAUUGGAAACUGGGGAACUUGAGUGCAGAAGAGAAAAGCGGAAUUCCACGUGUAGCGGUGAAAUGCGUAG